Scatophagus argus is the source of this 1252-nucleotide long non-coding RNA. RefSeq lists it as uncharacterized. NCBI's taxonomy places the organism in Eukaryota, Metazoa, Chordata, Actinopteri, Scatophagidae. The record is from RefSeq and is a predicted model, not a curated record. The transcript is spliced from 3 exons.
UUAAGUUACAUUUAUCUCAAUUAAGUGUUUAUGCAUCAUUGAAACAUAAAGAAGUAGUCAGCAAACCUUUGCUAGUGUUUCUUAUGACUUAUUUAAAGGUCCAGUGUGUAGGAUUUAGGGAAUCGAUUGGGAGAAGUCAAAAGUAAGAUUUGUAAUUACUGAAUGACUUUUUAAUCAUCUAAAUAUAAUUUACAAUCACCAUAAAAUAAUUAAUCAUUAUUGUAAAUUAAUUAUAAUUGUGUUUUUGGGAACUUAGCAGGAGUCCACAGUCCCCUUCAAUCCCCAGGUCUUCCCACUGUCCUCCUCCUGCAGGCUUCUCUGCCCUGAAAGUCUCUUUGUUUUGCCUCUGUGCUGUAAACACCAUCACAAUGUGAUGAAAGGGCAAAAACACGAGGAGCUUGUCAGUUUCAAUUAGUGGAGACAAUAGUCUGCUGAGAAAAAUGUUUUCCACGUAAUAGAGUAACUCUGGUGAAUGAGCUUCUCACAGCAGCCCAUUGUGGAUGGAACAUAUUUUGUAAUAAGUAGGACUAAAUGGCUAAUGCAUGAGCAGCACAUUCUCCUCAAUUAAUUUAAAACUAACCUAAGGUUUUUAAAUGCAACCUAAAGGGUUGCAAUCUCACUUGCAUUACUUCUUGUGUGUAAAAAUUGAAGUAACACAUUUUGAUUUAAUUGAAAACGAAUAUUGUGGAAAUUUCAGAGUUUACAUUCUUAUUAAAACUCACCACAGUGCCUAUAGAUGAAUGCAUUAUUAGGCCUCUGAUCAUAACAUGUUCAAGACAGCAUUCAACUUCAAUGCAUAUGAAGGAUUGUCUUCAUUAUAUUUCUCUCAAGUUUCCCAAAUGUCCUCAUUUGCACACAGAAACACCUGCAGGGAUUCCACCACUGAGCCUACCGGGUAAAGCACUUUAUAUGGAAGUGGUUGGCCUGGACUCGCAGCACCUCUCCCUUGCAACGCUCCCCACAUCUGAAGCACUGGAUGAUCCGCUUCCCCGCUGGAGAACUCGGGUGGCAGCCAUCCUGACAGAAGCAGCAGAAGCAGCAGACGGAUGCCUGUACAAUCUAAUCACAGCCCACUUGAAAGGUCCUGAAUGUGGUUAGUAGAGGAGAGAAGAAGGGAAAGAAUGUGGCACAUUGAGAGGCCUCUGACUCCCAGUGUGUGGACACAUGGCAUACAAACAGAUAAACAGACAUAAGCUUCAUCUUUGCCUUAUUAUUUAAUGCAGUUUAUACAAAUGUAUACAAAAUACAGGAA